AUGAAUUGGUUGAAUCGGCGGCAGAGAUGUUGUAUGGUUUGAUUCAUGUUCGGUACAUUUUGACUAGCAAGGGAAUAGCCGCUAUGUUGGAGAAGUACAAAAACUACGACUUUGGAAGAUGCCCACGAGUUUACUGCAGUGGACAGCCUUGUCUUCCCGUUGGUCAAUCAGAUAUUCCGCGUGCAAGUACUGUAAAAAUAUACUGUCCGAAGUGUGAGGACAUCUAUUACCCUCGAUCGAAGUACCAAGGCAAUAUUGAUGGAGCUUACUUUGGGACGACAUUUCCUCAUCUCUUCUUGAUGACUUAUGGACACCUCAAACCGCAAAAACCAACGCAAAACUUUGUCCCCAGGGUGUUUGGCUUCAAGAUCCACAAGACUUGACAGUAAAGCCCGUUAUGAUGUUGUAAACAGAUCAAAUUUUCUGCCAGUAAUGAUUAUUGCUAGGUAGCUUUGAUGUACAAUUGGUUAUGGUAGAGACAGGUGAAGCAGAUGAGUUGGUGAUAAUUAUGAAACAUUCUUCUUCAUUGAUGAAAGGCAACUUGGGCCAAUCUGUCAGGUGAAAUUUAUUCCCAGAAUAUUGCCAUGACAGCAUUUGUAAAGCUUGUUUCAUCACACCAGUUUGAGAAUUGAUUUAUAUUUCCUUCUCGACGACCAGUUUUCGUGGCCACUCUAAUGGUCUUUUCAUCUCUCUUCAGUAUUUACUCCUACCAUCAGGAUCAUAGACUAGGGUAUAUAACCCUUCCUUUUUUAGGACAAUUUCCAGUUGUAAUGAUGUGUGAUGGUAUAUUAAAUGGU
RNAcentral lists this unclassified non-coding RNA (797 nucleotides) under Hevea brasiliensis (rubber tree). The record is from RNAcentral. Lineage: Eukaryota; Viridiplantae; Streptophyta; Magnoliopsida; Malpighiales; Euphorbiaceae.